RNAcentral lists this ribosomal RNA (253 nucleotides) under uncultured bacterium. Its description in RNAcentral is "partial 16S ribosomal RNA". It matches the Rfam family "Bacterial small subunit ribosomal RNA", at positions 524 to 776 of the family's 1533-position model. The record is from RNAcentral.
UACGGAGGGUGCAAACGUUGCUCGGAAUCAUUGGGCGUAAAGCGCACGUAGGCGGCUAUCUAAGUCGGAUGUGAAAUCCCUCGGCUUAACCAAGGAAGUGCACCCGAAACUGGAUAGCUUGAGUACAGAAGAGGAUCGCGGAAUUCCCGGUGUAGAGGUGAAAUUCGUAGAUAUCGGGAGGAACACCAGUGGCGAAGGCGGCGAUCUGGGCUGAUACUGACGCUGAGGUGCGAAAGCGUGGGGAGCAAACAGG